Molecule: non-coding RNA, 218 nt
Organism: Caenorhabditis elegans
Lineage: Eukaryota; Metazoa; Nematoda; Chromadorea; Rhabditida; Rhabditidae
Source: Ensembl
GAACGGAAUACGGGAAAGCCUGCGCGCACACGCUUUCGCGUCUCCCAAACAUUCCUUCCCGUUGCCUUUAUUUCCUCCUCCUCCUUUUGUGGUGGUGUCGUUUUUCGCUUUUUAGCCACCCAUACUCAUUUUCAAAGACACAAGAGAAUGAGAAGGAAAAAAGAGCAGGAGAGGAGGAUGAAAAAAAGAAAGAAGAACGGAGUGAAUAUCAGCUCCGU